GACGAACGCUGGCGGCGUGCCUAAUACAUGCAAGUCGAGCGGGGAUUAUGCUUGAUCGCUUCGGUGAGACGGCAUAUAUCCUAGCGGCGGACGGGUGAGUAACGCGUGGGUAAUCUACCUCGUAGUUCGGGAUAACAGGCCGAAAGGCUUGCUAAUACCGGAUGAGUUCAUGCUUAUGCAUAUAGGCAUGAAGAAAGGGCUAGCCCGCUAUGAGAUGAGCCCGCGUCCCAUUAGCUUGUUGGUGGGGUAAUGGCCUACCAAGGCAACGAUGGGUAGCCGGCCUGAGAGGGUGUACGGCCACACUGGGACUGAGACACGGCCCAGACUCCUACGGGGGGCAGCAGUAGGGAAUUUUCGGCAAUGGGCGAAAGCCUGACCGAGCGACGCCGCGUGAGGGACGAAGGCCUUCGGUUGUAAACCUCUGUCUGGGGGAUGAGAACGGACGGUACCCCCGGACGGAAGCCCCGGCUAACUACGUG
Molecule: ribosomal RNA, 479 nt
Filed under: uncultured bacterium
Lineage: Bacteria
Description: bacterial SSU rRNA
Rfam family: Bacterial small subunit ribosomal RNA
Source: RNAcentral